RNAcentral lists this ribosomal RNA (407 nucleotides) under uncultured bacterium. Its description in RNAcentral is "partial 16S ribosomal RNA". It matches the Rfam family "Bacterial small subunit ribosomal RNA", at positions 28 to 526 of the family's 1533-position model. The record is from RNAcentral.
GACGAACGCUGGCGGCGUGCCUAAUACAUGCAAGUAGAACGCAGUAGCGAACGGGUGAGUAACGCGUAGGUAACUGCCUCAUAGCGGGGGAGAAAUAUUGGAAACGAUAGCUAAUACCGCAUAUGGUGAGAAGGCCCUGCGUUGUAUUAGCUAGUUGGUGAGGUAACGGCUCACCAAGGCGACGAUACAUAGCCGACCUGAUAGGGUGAUCGGCCGCACUGGGACUGAGACACGGCCCAGACUCCUACGUAAGGCCGCAGUAGGGAAUCUUCGGCAAUGGACGAAAGUCUGACCGAGCAACGCCGCGUGAGUGAAUAAGGUUUUCGGAUCGUAAAGCUCUGUUGUUAGAGAAGCGGUACCUAACCAGAAAGGGACGGCUAGCUACGUGCCAGCAGCCGCGGUAAUUC